AGACGUCUACAUUAGAUACCCGUGUAGUCCCAGCCGUAAACUAUGCGCGUUAGGUGUAUCGGUGACCACGAGUCACCGAGGUGCCGAAGGGAAACCGUGAAACGUGCCGCCUGGGAAGUACGGUCGCAAGGCUGAAACUUAAAGGAAUUGGCGGGGAGCACCACAACAGGUGGAGCCUGCGGUUUAAUUGGACUCAACGCCGGGAAGCUCACCGGAUAGGACAGCAGAAUGAUUGCCGGGCUGAAGACUCUGCAUGACUAGCUG
Molecule: ribosomal RNA, 264 nt
Filed under: uncultured archaeon
Lineage: Archaea
Description: partial 16S ribosomal RNA
Rfam family: Archaeal small subunit ribosomal RNA
Source: RNAcentral